AGCGUAGACGGCAAGGCAAGUCUGAUGUGAAAACCCAGGGCUUAACCCUGGGACUGCAUUGGAAACUGUCCGGCUCGAGUGCCGGAGAGGUAAGCGGAAUUCCUAGUGUAGCGGUGAAAUGCGUAGAUAUUAGGAAGAACACCAGUGGCGAAGGCGGCUUACUGGACGGUAACUGACGUUGAGGCUCGAAAGCAUGGGGAUCAAACA
RNAcentral lists this ribosomal RNA (207 nucleotides) under uncultured bacterium. RNAcentral describes it as "partial 16S ribosomal RNA". It matches the Rfam family "Bacterial small subunit ribosomal RNA", at positions 568 to 774 of the family's 1533-position model. The record is from RNAcentral.